Molecule: ribosomal RNA, 375 nt
Filed under: Photobacterium alginatilyticum
Lineage: Bacteria; Pseudomonadati; Pseudomonadota; Gammaproteobacteria; Vibrionales; Vibrionaceae
Description: bacterial SSU rRNA
Source: RNAcentral
UUAAUUGAAGAGUUUGAUCAUGGCUCAGAUUGAACGCUGGCGGCAGGCCUAACACAUGCAAGUCGAGCGGCAGCGACAACAUUGAGAUUUGUUGGGCGGCGAGCGGCGGACGGGUGAGUAAUGCCUGGGAAUAUGCCUUAGUGUGGGGGAUAACUAUUGGAAACGAUAGCUAAUACCGCAUAAUGCCUACGGGCCAAAGAGGGGGACCUUCGGGCCUCUCGCGCUAAGAUUAGCCCAGGUGGGAUUAGCUAGUUGGUGGGGUAASGGCUCACCAAGGCGACGAUCCCUAGCUGGUCUGAGAGGAUGAUCAGCCACACUGGAACUGAGACACGGUCCAGACUCCUACGGGAGGCAGCAGUGGGGAAUAUUGCACAA